This 253-nucleotide ribosomal RNA is filed under the name uncultured archaeon. Its description in RNAcentral is "partial 16S ribosomal RNA". It matches the Rfam family "Archaeal small subunit ribosomal RNA", at positions 474 to 727 of the family's 1478-position model. The record is from RNAcentral.
AACCAGCACCUCAAGUGGUCAGGAUGAUUAUUGGGCCUAAAGCAUCCGUAGCCGGCUCUGUAAGUUUUCGGUUAAAUCUGUACGCUCAACGUACAGGCUGCCGGGAAUACUGCAGAACUAGGGAGUGGGAGAGGUAGACGGUACUCGGUAGGAAGGGGUAAAAUCCUUUGAUCUAUUGAUGACCACCUGUGGCGAAGGCGGUCUACCAGAACACGUUCGACGGUGAGGGAUGAAAGCUGGGGGAGCAAACCGG